RNAcentral lists this unclassified non-coding RNA (194 nucleotides) under plant metagenome. RNAcentral describes it as "partial contains small subunit ribosomal RNA and internal transcribed spacer 1". The stretch from base 1 to 46 matches the Rfam family "Eukaryotic small subunit ribosomal RNA", at positions 1786 to 1831 of the family's 1831-position model. The record is from RNAcentral.
AAGUCGUAACAAGGUCUCCGUAGGUGAACCUGCGGAGGGAUCAUUACUGAGUGAGGGCCCCCGGCCCGACCUCCAACCCUUUGUGAAUUGACCCUGUUGCCUCGGGGAUGCCGGCGCUCUCGGGCGCCGGGCCCCCGGUGGACCCCAUAACUUUGGCGUCUUUGCGUCCGAGUCUUAUGAUGAAUCAAUCAAAA